Molecule: ribosomal RNA, 562 nt
Filed under: uncultured Bifidobacterium sp.
Lineage: Bacteria; Bacillati; Actinomycetota; Actinomycetes; Bifidobacteriales; Bifidobacteriaceae
Description: bacterial SSU rRNA
Rfam family: Bacterial small subunit ribosomal RNA
Source: RNAcentral
UCCUGGAAACGGGUGGUAAUACCGGAUGCUCCGCCUUACCGCAUGGUGGGGUGGGAAAUGCUUUUUGCGGCAUGGGAUGGGGUCGCGUCCUAUCAGCUUGUUGGCGGGGUGAUGGCCCACCAAGGCGUUGACGGGUAGCCGGCCUGAGAGGGUGACCGGCCACAUUGGGACUGAGAUACGGCCCAGACUCCUACGGGAGGCAGCAGUGGGGAAUAUUGCACAAUGGGCGCAAGCCUGAUGCAGCGACGCCGCGUGCGGGAUGGAGGCCUUCGGGUUGUAAACCGCUUUUGUUCAAGGGCAAGGCACGGCUUUUGGCCGUGUUGAGUGGAUUGUUCGAAUAAGCACCGGCUAACUACGUGCCAGCAGCCGCGGUAAUACGUAGGGUGCGAGCGUUAUCCGGAUUUAUUGGGCGUAAAGGGCUCGUAGGCGGUUCGUCGCGUCCGGUGUGAAAGUCCAUCGCCUAACGGUGGAUCUGCGCCGGGUACGGGCGGGCUGGAGUGCGGUAGGGGAGACUGGAAUUCCCGGUGUAACGGUGGAAUGUGUAGAUAUCGGGAAGAACACC